AAUCAACGCUGGCGGCGUGCCUAACACAUGCAAGUCGAACGCGGUUUUUCCGCAAGGGAAAACUGAGUGGCGAACGGGUGAGUAACACGUGGGUGACCUACCUUCGAGUGGGGGAUAACGUCCCGAAAGGGACGCUAAUACCGCAUAACAUCCUGCCUUUGAAGAGGUGGAGAUCAAAGCCGGGGACCGCAAGGCCCGGCGCUUGAUGAGGGGCCCGCGUCCGAUUAGCUAGUUGGUGGGGUAAUGGCCACCAAGGCAACGAUCGGUAGCCGGCCUGAGAGGGCGGACGGCCACACUGGGACUGAGACACGGCCCAGACUCCUACGGGAGGCAGCAGUGGGGAAUUGUUCGCAAUGGGCGCAAGCCUGACCGACGCAACGCCGCGUGGAGGAUGAAGGUCUUCGGAUUGUAAACUCUGUUGCCCGGGACGAAUGGCUCCAACCUAAUACGUUGGAGUGUGACGGUACCGGGUGAGGAAG
Molecule: ribosomal RNA, 479 nt
Filed under: uncultured bacterium
Lineage: Bacteria
Description: bacterial SSU rRNA
Rfam family: Bacterial small subunit ribosomal RNA
Source: RNAcentral